GUGCUAGCUUCGGCAGCAAAUAUACUAAAAUUGAAAUGAUACGGAGAAGAUUAGCAUGGCCCCUUCGCAAGGAUGACACACAAAUUCGUGAAGCAUUCCUUAUUUUU
Molecule: small nuclear RNA, 107 nt
Filed under: Mus spicilegus (steppe mouse)
Lineage: Eukaryota; Metazoa; Chordata; Mammalia; Rodentia; Muridae
Source: RNAcentral